Papaver somniferum (opium poppy) is the source of this 337-nucleotide long non-coding RNA. RefSeq lists it as uncharacterized. The transcript is spliced from 3 exons. The record is from RefSeq and is a predicted model, not a curated record. NCBI's taxonomy places the organism in Eukaryota, Viridiplantae, Streptophyta, Magnoliopsida, Ranunculales, Papaveraceae.
CUCAUUCUCCAUCUCGUUUUCUGCCCUUCUCUCUCUCGUUCUCCCAGUGAGUUUCCCUGUCUCUACCACCACCACCAACGUUAUCAUCAAGAUCAAAACCAAACCUUAUUGUCGUCGUCGUCGAGGAAGAAAGAACUAGGAUGAGAUGAUCAUGUUAGCUAGGCAGGCUCUCUGAACCAUACAAGGGAAUUGAAGAGUGUUUUGGAAGAAUAAUCAAGGAAGAAGGGUUUGGGGCCAUUGCGGAGAGGAAACACAGGCAAUGUCAUAUCUUACUUCCCUACCCAGGCCUUGAAAUUUGCAUAGUUUCAAGAAGGAUAGAGAUGGCUACUGUAAUUUU